Molecule: long non-coding RNA, 994 nt
Filed under: Homo sapiens (human)
Lineage: Eukaryota; Metazoa; Chordata; Mammalia; Primates; Hominidae
Description: non-protein coding lnc-RNF26-1:13
Source: RNAcentral
CAGAGAAGCAGUGGGGAGCCAUGGAAAGUUUCUGAACAGAGAAGCACUUAUUGGGAACUGUCAGAGCUAUGCUUCAGGAGAUGAAUCUGGCAACAACGUGGGUAGGAUGGACAGAUGAUGAUUGGUCAGUGAAGGAGGAGGGGAGUGAGGAGAGAGGGUUGUCAUGGAAGCCAAGUGAGAAGAGGAUUUAAUAGAGGAGGUGGAGGAGGUUGCUAACAGUGUCUGAUGCUGCAGAAAGCAGGUGGGGAUCAGAAGGGGUCUUUGGAAGCAGUGGCAAAACCACCAGUGACCUUUGAGAGAGGGAUGUUGGUGACUAGGCAGGGGCUGAACCCAGAUCAAAGUGGGAGGAGGAGCAACUGGAAGGUGAAAAAGCAGAGGCAGCAGGUAUCCUCUCUGCUUUUGAGAAGUUUGGUGGCGGACGGAAUGAGCAAGGUGGAUGAGAAGCUCGGAGAGGGUUAGCAAGACAGACCAAGAGGCUUAUUUUCUCCUUUUUCAUCGGAAAUCAAAAGCUACUGAGCAUCUUGUAGUCAGAAGGAAAAGAGCUAGUGGACAGUGAGGGAGUGGAGAAGCAAGUGUAAGAAGUGAAAUAGGGUGUCAUUUAUGGAGCAAGUCCUGGGUUGGGGGGCACUGAGGGUGGGAAGGGGUCAGCCUUGGAAAGGAGAAGACCCAUCUUUCUCUGAGCCUGGAGGGAAGGUGAAGAGAGUAGUGAAGGUGGAAGUUUUGGGGUGGAGUAGUGAAGGGGGAAGUUUAUAAUAAGGUCAUUGCAGUACAGUGGGAGCUGAAGUUAUCUGCAGAGAGAGGUUGGAAAGCGGCUUCAGACUUCACAAUUGAGAAGGCCAAAGGGAGUGUUAAGUGGGGUAUGACUACCAAGCUUCCAAAAUCUAUAGGGAGAAAGGAGCAAGCAUCAUCUGUGUGUCUUCAUAGGGAAAAGUCAGGACCAAUGGUCAUAUUUUUGGGGGAGGUAGAUUUCAGUUUAAUCUAGGCAAGACUGUUG